CUGUGAGGUGCUCGGUGAGGAAUGCAGUGUGGGUGAUGUCGGUGAGGUGCUCGGUGAGGAAUGCAAUGGGUGGUGAAGACUGAAGACUGGAGACUUGAGAUGAUGAUCAUCAGGGCUGGGCAGGGUUUGUGUGAGCGUUGGUGAUGAUCAAUUAGUUCCUUUGUGAAGUCAUGGAUGGUGUUGGACUAUUUUAUAUGGCAAUGGAGAAAAGCAUGUGUGGCGCUCACCAUUCCUUGGAAAAGUGAAAAGAUGGCCAUGGAAAGUUUCAGCCUGCAAAACUUUACAAGCUGAAGCAUCUUUCAAAAGUGGAGGUGAUUGCAAAUGAUCCUACUGGCUGCACCUUU
Molecule: long non-coding RNA, 344 nt
Organism: Dioscorea cayenensis subsp. rotundata (Guinea yam)
Lineage: Eukaryota; Viridiplantae; Streptophyta; Magnoliopsida; Dioscoreales; Dioscoreaceae
Exons: 3
Source: RefSeq, a predicted model, not a curated record